CUACGGGUUGCUGCAGUGGGGAAUAUUGGACAAUGGGGGAAACCCUGAUCCAGCAAUGCCGCGUGUGUGAAGAAGGCCUGCGGGUUGUAAAGCACUUUCGGUUGGGAGGACUGCUUCUAGCACUAAUAUUGUUGGAAGUUGACGUUACCUUCAGAAGAAGCACCGGCUAACUCCGUGCCAGCAGCCGCGGUAAUACGGAGGGUGCAAGCGUUAAUCGGAAUUACUGGGCGUAAAGCGCGCGUAGGCGGCUAGAUCAGUCGGGUGUGAAAGCCCCGGGCUUAACCUGGGAACUGCAUCCGAUACUGUCUAGCUUGAGUACAGGAGAGGAGAGUGGAAUUCCACAUGUAGCGGUGAAAUGCGUAGAUAUGUGGAGGAACACCAAUGGCUAAGGCAGCUCUCUGGCCUGAUACUGAUGUUGAGGUGCGAAAGCGUGGGGAUCAAACAGGAUUAGAUACCCCAGUAGUC
RNAcentral lists this ribosomal RNA (465 nucleotides) under uncultured bacterium. RNAcentral's name for it is "partial 16S ribosomal RNA". It matches the Rfam family "Bacterial small subunit ribosomal RNA", at positions 339 to 795 of the family's 1533-position model. The record is from RNAcentral.